This is a long non-coding RNA of Rhododendron vialii, 855 nucleotides long. RefSeq lists it as uncharacterized. NCBI's taxonomy places the organism in Eukaryota, Viridiplantae, Streptophyta, Magnoliopsida, Ericales, Ericaceae. The record is from RefSeq and is a predicted model, not a curated record. The transcript has 2 exons.
CUUGCACAGUCGCGCCUCCAAAUUCCAAACCCGGUGCACAACUGUAAGUUGACAUCAGACACCAAAUGCAACAUCAAAUGCACCGGCUGCUCCAGAGGGACUUCUACGGAUGACACGCACAACAGCAGCACACAGCGCAACACGGCUCCUUCGGUGCUUGCAAUCUCUUCCAGCCAGUGUUCUACUGAUUUGAAAUGGUACUAUUCUAUUCUAAGAAUUUGGUAUAUAUGGUGAAGGACCGGUACCAAACUAUCCCCUCUUUCUCUGGCAAGGUGGCAUUUGGAAUAAAAAAAAUGCUUGCCUGCUUGAAAAUCCAAACUAUCCCCUCUUUCUCUAUAUGUGCAUCCCUUUUAUGUUGUUGUCCUCCAGAUUACUUUGUAUGUUUUGUCCCUAUAGAUUUCACAAUGACUUAAUAAGUUAUCUCAUUCUCAUGAUGAUUCUGUUUUCUACAUAAAUUUAUGUGAAAUUCUGCUUCAUUUGAUUUUGCUUUUGUUUUCCUUUCCUUUCCUUUUCUUUUACUUUUCCUUUUUUUCCUUGUUUUUUUUGGUUGUGGGGGUAUCUAACUAAUUUCAAUGACAGAGGAUGGAAUGAAGUCGGGAUUGAGGCUUGAGGGAAGAAAACUGAAGGAAAACAAGAAAUAGCUAGCGAAGUAGGAUUUCAAGGAAUUAACGCUGUCAUGUAAUUUUUCCCCUAGAACGUUUUUGCUAUGAGUUUUUUCCCUUAAACGAUAUUUGUUUUUUUGCUACGGAACUACAUUUGGCGUCAAUUCUAGGGGACUAAUGUGGUAUCAUUUUCUGUCAUGACACUGUUGUGGUAUCAAUUCUGCAUUUUCAAUUAUGAAAAAGUUCUUCAUUU